AUGGUGGUUCCUACACAGCCAAGAUGGAUCCCUCCUCCUGAUGGAAUUGCUAAAAUCCGGGUUGAUGGAGCUGUAUCCAGAGAUGGUAACUUUGGGUCGUUUAGUGCCCUGUGCAGAAACUCAUCGGGCAACUUUUUGGGUGCUUCGGUUAUCAAGAUACAUGGAGUAACGGAUCCGGCGACGCUAGAAGCGCUGGCAUGUCGUGAGGCGCUUGCGCUGGCAGCAGACCUGGGCCUUGCUCGAAUCCUCGUCGCCAGCGACAGUCAAGGGGUAGUGAAAGACAUCAAGAAUUGCACCGGGGGAGCCUACGCCAGCACCACCAGGGAGAUUGUGGAAACUUCAACUAGUUUUGAUAGUUGCACCUUCAUCUUUGAAGGGAGAGCCACUAAUAUUUAG
RNAcentral lists this ribosomal RNA (396 nucleotides) under Triticum aestivum (bread wheat). RNAcentral's name for it is "partial small subunit ribosomal RNA". The record is from RNAcentral. Lineage: Eukaryota; Viridiplantae; Streptophyta; Magnoliopsida; Poales; Poaceae.